Molecule: long non-coding RNA, 3564 nt
Organism: Ictalurus punctatus (channel catfish)
Lineage: Eukaryota; Metazoa; Chordata; Actinopteri; Siluriformes; Ictaluridae
Exons: 3
Source: RefSeq, a predicted model, not a curated record
UACCUUACUUUACCUUUUUUUCUUAGCCAACUAGUCAUGUCUCGCCAGUUAAUUAGUCAAAUCGUUAAUAUUAAAUGAAAUGUAAAUAUUUUCGGACAACACAACUGUAUACAGACAUCCCUGAGUCGUAAACUCACCUCAGAUUGUGAUUAUUUACUCCUCGUGAAGGGCGGAGACGCUGCAGCUUGGAGAAGCGAUAAAGACUGACGUUUUUCACGCCAAUUUAGUUUCACUAAGAUCUUCAGUCCUACAUCUUCAGUGCAUCAAGAUACAUCAUAAAUUCUGGACUGACCUAGAUGAAGAUCGUGAAAUGAUAUCUAUGCUAGUUGGCUGUCAGAUAUUGCAACCAGUCCAGGAACCACUCAACCAGUUUGAAAUAUAGUACAGCAUACACAGGCUUAUAUCUUCCUGAUGCAUUGCCGUGCCCGGCUCCAAGCAAAAGGAUUAUCCUGUACUACAAGACAUUUUAAUGGGCUCCAACAGUCCAGAGAGAUCUGCCAGCACAGAACGUGCCGAGCAUAACAACUGCACUCGUUCUCCCUCGUGCCGCCAGGGAGUGGAGGUGCAGAUGCCCCAUGCUCCUCUGCUGUGGUGCUUCCCGAAUAUAUCAUACUUAUCCUCAUUCUGGAAAUGCAACAUUUCUCCUGUUGACCAGAUUAGAGAGCCACUGUGACGCUCAUCAGCAUGCAUUGCCUGUGCAUGUUUUCUCCCUCUUCACUGUUUUUUUUAUUCUCUUACUGAAUGGAUGCAUUCGUUCUCCUAGGAAACCAUGAUGCAAAAGAGGGUCAAUUUGAAUGUGCUUCCUUCUUUACAUUUGUGCAGAUAAAUGCAGAAGCGAGGCCAACACAAACAGCAGUUAAAAUUGCUGAUGAAAAAAUUUAAAUGCAAAGUAGUUUUAAGAAAAGCAAGUUCCCAGAACUAGUCAAAGCAAUGUAUAUGACUAAGUAAAGUACCAAUAGUGUGACAUGAUCAGUGUGCAGACAUACACUUUUUUUACCCCAUUUUCUAUACUUGUUGAUAAAAGCCUUUAAGGUGUUCCAUGGUACAUCUAAAGUGGUGCUUGAAAGUUUGUGAACCCUUUUGAAUUUUCUAUAUUUCUGCAAAAAUAUGACAUCAGAUUUUCCCACAAGUCAGUGUAGUCAGUGAGAAUCCAAACAAAAAAUUGACACAAAAUAUUAUACUUGGUCAUUUAUUUAUUGAGGAAAAUGGUACAAUAUUACAUAUCUGAGAGGCAAAAGUAUAUGAACCUUUGUUUUCAGUAUCUGGUGCAGCAAUUACUGCAACUAAACGUGUUGAUCAAUCCUGCACAUCAGCUUGGAGGAAUUUUAGCCCAUUCCUCAGUACAGAACAGCUUCAACUCUGAGAUUUUGAUGGGUUUCCUCACAUGAACUGCUUGAUUCAGUUCCUUCCACAACAUUUCUAUUGAAUUCAGGUGCGGACUUUGAAUUGGCCAUUCCAAAACAUUAACUUUAUACUUCUUUAACCAUUCUACAACAACAACUUGUGUGCUUAGAGUCGUUGUCUUGCUGCAUGACCCACUGUCUCUUGAGAUUCAUAUCACGUACAGAUGUCCUGACAUUUUCCAUUAUAACUCACUGGUAUAAUUCCAAAUUCAUUGUUCCAUCAAUGAUGGCAAGUCGACCUGGCCCAGAUGCAGCAAAAAAGGACCAAACCAUGAUACUACCACUAGCAUGUUUUACAGAUGGAAUAAGGUUCUUAUGCUGGAAUGCAGUUUUCUCCAAACAUAAUGCUUCUUGUUUAAACCAAAAUUUCGAUUUUGGUCUGAUCCAUCCACAAAACAUCUUCUAGUAGCCUUCUGGCUUGUCCACAUCAUCUUUACCAAACUGCACAAGGAUAGCAAUGCUCUUUUUGGAGAGCAAUGGUUUUCUCCUUGCAACCCUGCUAUGCACACCAUUGUUGUUCAGUGUUCUCCUGAUGGUGGACUCAAACAUUAACAUUACCCAAUGUGAGAGAGGCCUUUAGUUGCUUAGAUGUUACCCUGGGUUCUUUUGUGAACUCACAGACUAUUACACGUCUUGCUCUUGGAGUGAUCUUUGUUGGUCGACCACUCCUGGGGAGGAUAAUAAUAGUCUUGAAUUUCCUCCAUUUGAACACAGUCCAGCUAACUUUGGAUUGCUGGAGUCCAAACUCUUUAGAUUUUGUAACCUUUUCCAACCUGAUGAGCAUCAACAACUCUUUUUCUGAGUUCCUCAGAAAUCUCCUUUGUUCAUGCCAUGUGAUGUGAAGCGCAGACUUUGAUAUACCCCUGUUCUUUAAAUAGAACAGGGUGGUCACUCACACCUGAUUGUCAUCCCAUUGAUUGAAAACACCUGAUCAUUACCUCAUCUUAUUAAGUUUUAGGCUAUAUUUAUGAAGAAAUAUAAGGGUUAACAAACUUUUAAGCACAACUGUAAUGUUCUGGAAAUUAUUUUCUAAUCCUUUCCUAAUCGAUACCUUUCAGCAAUGAGAUUCUGUACAGGUUUUGUAAGAAUCUUGUGGACAAUGGCCUGACACCAAUGGCUUGACACCAACAAGCAGUAAGAUGACACCAACAAGAUGUCAAUAAAAUGUAAAGAAACCAACAUAUAAAGUAAUAGUCUGUGUCUCACAUUAAAACAUUGUUGCAUUUGUCUUAGAUCUGCAGAGAUAGAAGCAAGUGGGAGCCAAAGUCUACUGAAAACCCAGGACACGUUGAUGUGUGAACACUCUAGCAGCUGAUUUCCUUUUAAAAUGAUAAAACUGCUCAACAGGGAUCCCUAAGAGAAUUGGUGCAGUUAUAAAUGCAAAAGAUUGUCACACCAAAUCUUCAAAUUAGUCUUCUAUCCUUUAUAGUUGUUUUCUUUAUAUUUAUAUUUAAAUCAUAUUCCCAUUACCUUAUUUCUUUACAUGUGCCUAAAACCUUUGCACUGUUCUGUAAAUCACCACUAGUAAUUAAACAAACUUUGGACAAUAUUGCUAUACUUGUGUGACUUACUUUAUUGCCAUACUGACGGCUAUGAAUAAUUCAUUUGAGCUCAGUUUUCCUCUUGCAGAUUUGCCACUCUGUAUCUAAUGGCUUUGAACCCUACAUGACAUUAUUAAAAGAAUCACAUAGGAAUAGAAAGCCAUAAAACACAUGAAUGAUUUAUGCAUCAUUUCAUUGAACAACAACAAUAAACUGAAAUGGCAAUAAGUUGUUCUGCUUUGAGCAUCUUACUGCACUGCUUUAUCAACCACGAUAUACAGUAUAAACCACUCGAGCCAAGUUGCAGGCAACUCAGAAGAUUAAAAAACUCAUAUCAACAUGAAUAAUUAAACAGAAGAAUGAGAAUUAUUCAACUUUCUUUCUGUGCUGAACGGUUUGAAGUGUUUGUGUCUGAUUAUUCUUUUUAAAAUAACUCUUCAGAGACUGUUCACUUUUUUUCACUCCAAGCCACCUCUGAGCUCGGCUUACAGCUUCAGUAGUGAGAUCUGACUGAAAGUCACUGGGUCCCACAGGCCAUUCAAAACACUCUUUGAUGCAACUUGGUGCCCAUGCCAAAGAAUAAAAGGUACAGUGUUAAUCAAAAGUUGUUGUUUUUUCUG